UACGAAGGGUGCAAGCGUUACUCGGAAUUACUGGGCGUAAAGCGUGCGUAGGUGGUUUGUUAAGUCUGUUGUGAAAGCCCCGGGCUCAACCUGGGAAUGGCAAUGGAUACUGGCAAGCUAGAGUGCGGUAGAGGGUAGUGGAAUUCCCGGUGUAGCGGUGAAAUGCGUAGAGAUCGGGAGGAACACCAGUGGCGAAGGCGGCUACCUGGACCAGCACUGACACUGAGGCACGAAAGCGUGGGGAGCGAUCCGG
This 253-nucleotide ribosomal RNA is filed under the name uncultured bacterium. Its description in RNAcentral is "partial 16S ribosomal RNA". It matches the Rfam family "Bacterial small subunit ribosomal RNA", at positions 524 to 776 of the family's 1533-position model. The record is from RNAcentral.